GAUUAUGUAUAUGACACUACCAUUUACUGGAACACAUGCUUUGAAAAUCAAGAAAAAUAUAAAGAACUUCCUUUGUAAUAUUUACCUACAAGUUGAACUACGUGUGGUACUUAAACCAGUAUACAGAAUAAGGAACUAUUUUGUAUUCAAAGACAGAGGGGACCGAUCAUAUCUAAUCUACAGAUAUCAGUGCUCUGUUUGUAAUGGUGUGUGUGUAGGGUCGACUGUGAGGAGGCUUAGUGAUUGAGUUAAAGAAUAUAGUAUGCCAAGGUAUGAAAAAUUGUCAAAUAUUUUCCAACAUGAAGAAUGCGUGAAUGCAAGUGUUAAAUUUAACAAUGCCAAAUUAUUGGAAAGGCUGAAAAUGAGCGAUGGCUACGGUUAAAAGAAACAUUAGCCAUAAAGAACUUAGCACCUGAACUGAACAGGAAAUCCAGCACAGGAUUGGUCAAAUCUACCAAACCUCUACAGAGAUUCAUUAGUCAAAAGCAUUGUGUAAGAAGACCAUGAAACGUUUCUUCACAAAGAAGAAGGAAAGUGGUGCUGAAGGACGGAAGAGACGAAAGUUGGAGGCAGAGAAAGCCAAAAAGUCGAGCAAGUUGUUCAUGCCCUUCUUUGAAAAGCCCGGUACAAGUAGUUCUACACGUUCCAUGGAGUCGCCUGCACCAGCUACAAGUUCGUUAGAAUCCGAAGGUGGAUCAAGUACAAAUGCGUCACAAGCGAGGAGAAAGUCAAGUCAUAUAAAUCCGAAUAUAACGAGAUUAAGAAUGAGGCUGCCAGAGAGAACAUGGACAUGACAGGAGGGGAAGAAAAUGGUGGUGGUGAUGUUGAAUUUAUUGACGAAAUUGAACCUGACAACACUGAACCUAGUGUAACAGGUUAGCGCUCAGAUGACAUUUUAAAGAAACAGUCUGGGAAUGACUUCUAUGAAUAGAUGAAACUAGGAUGGCUAGAAAGAAGCUUUCUCUUCCCUCUUCCCACAGCCAUUUCACAAUUGUGACCUCCCCCUUCCAACUAAUACUAUGGCACCUGUAGGUUUUAUAUAUUCUAUAUAGGAAGGUUACAGACGAAGUUUACAACAAACUUCUCUGACUCUUCGGAAGAUAAGUCUGGACUCCACAGCUGUAAAUAUAGCAUGAGUUCCUCAUGGUGUUUGAAAGAGAACUGAUACUUGCAAGUGUGUGUUUCUCAUGGUGUUUGAUGAAAGAGAACUGAUACUGAUGCUUGCAAGCGUGAGUUCCUCGUGGUGUUUGAUGAAAGAGAACUGAUACUGAUGCUUACAAGCGUGAGUUCCUUACAGUGUUUGAAAGAAAACUGAUACUUGCAAAUGUGAGUUUCUCAUGGUGUUUGAUGAAGAACUGGUACUAAUGCUUGGAGACAGAAGAGCUUAUCGAAAAUGCACAAAAGAUUAAAUACAUGUAUUUCAGUGUCAUUCUUAUUGAUUAUACAUUAGUAAGUAUCUCACAAACAUUUCCAAUAAUGUUGAACAGUAAAAUUGUUUUUUAACUUGCA
Molecule: long non-coding RNA, 1509 nt
Filed under: Limulus polyphemus (Atlantic horseshoe crab)
Lineage: Eukaryota; Metazoa; Arthropoda; Merostomata; Xiphosura; Limulidae
Description: uncharacterized LOC111088169, transcript variant X1
Source: RNAcentral